RNAcentral lists this ribosomal RNA (209 nucleotides) under uncultured bacterium. RNAcentral's name for it is "partial 16S ribosomal RNA". It matches the Rfam family "Bacterial small subunit ribosomal RNA", at positions 524 to 732 of the family's 1533-position model. The record is from RNAcentral.
UACGUAGGGUGCAAGCGUUGUCCGGAAUUAUUGGGCGUAAAGAGCUCGUAGGCGGUUCGUCGCGUCGGCUGUGAAAUCCCGAGGCUCAACCUCGGGUCUGCAGUCGAUACGGGCGGACUGGAGUUCGGCAGGGGAGACUGGAAUUCCUGGUGUAGCGGUGAAAUGCGCAGAUAUCAGGAGGAACACCGGUGGCGAAGGCGGGUCUCUGG